UGGGGAAUAUUGGACAAUGGGGGCAACCCUGAUCCAGCCAUGCCGCGUGAGUGAUGAAGGCCUUCGGGUUGUAAAGCUCUUUUGGCGGGGACGAUGAUGACGGUACCCGCAGAAUAAGCCCCGGCUAACUUCGUGCCAGCAGCCGCGGUAAGACGAAGGGGGCUAGCGUUGUUCGAAAUUACUGGGCGUAAAGCGAGUGUAGGCGGUUGCCGUAGUCAGGUGUGAAAGCCUUGAGCUCAACUCAAGAAAUGCACUUGAUACUGGGUGACUAGAGGACCGGAGAGGAUAGUGGAAUUCCCAGUGUAGUGGUGAAAUACGUAGAGAUUGGGAAGAACACCAGUGGCGAAGGCGGCUAUCUGGACGGUUACUGACGCUAAGACUCGAAAGCGUGGGGAGCAAAACAGGA
Molecule: ribosomal RNA, 406 nt
Filed under: uncultured bacterium
Lineage: Bacteria
Description: partial 16S ribosomal RNA
Rfam family: Bacterial small subunit ribosomal RNA
Source: RNAcentral